RNAcentral lists this non-coding RNA (95 nucleotides) under Bdellovibrionales bacterium. RNAcentral describes it as "c-di-GMP sequence". It matches the Rfam family "c-di-GMP-I riboswitch aptamer". Rfam says of the family: GEMM was predicted in a large-scale screen for bacterial structured RNA regulatory elements. The record is from RNAcentral. Lineage: Bacteria; Pseudomonadati; Bdellovibrionota; Bdellovibrionia; Bdellovibrionales.
UUUUGAAAAAGGCAAACCGGUUGAAAAGCCGGGACGCAAAGCCACGGGACUUCGAGCUGCUUACCCCGACAGCUCAUGUUAGCCGGGCUGCCAAA